Molecule: long non-coding RNA, 1362 nt
Organism: Salarias fasciatus (jewelled blenny)
Lineage: Eukaryota; Metazoa; Chordata; Actinopteri; Blenniiformes; Blenniidae
Exons: 8
Source: RefSeq, a predicted model, not a curated record
UCUGAGGAGGCAAAAAAAAAGAAAAAGAGAGGCUACUCGGAUAAAAGCACAGUCCAGGAUCGACAUUGGCCCGGCUUUCACUCGCUGGCGUGAGCUGAAAGAUCAGGAGGGAUUUCCGACCGACGCUGCCUUGGCUCUGUUCCUGCUGGACUACUAUCAAAAGGAGCAAGUAACUUCUACUCCCCACAAGCAACACCUCCAACCACUGCAGCAUAUAGUUUCCAGCAUAACAGAAGAGGUCGGACCAUGAUAGGGGAGAACUGAUAGAGGGUGUCCAAAUCCUGGAAGAAGGCACUGGGGCAAAAGAAGCUGGUGUAUUAGAGGCCAGGUGAGUUUCUGUAAAUGGGUUGAUGGUGUGAGCCCUUGGUCAUCUGUCUGGGAACACUUGCCUACUGUUUCACAACACUGGCAUAAUGAGUUGCGUCAUUCACCAAAGGUCCCAUGCUGUUUGCUCAUGGGCUCAGGCACAUUGCACAGGACUCACAUGGAACAGUAUGCUGAGUGGUGCAGGACAGAAGGGGAGGGACUUCUGUCACAAACAGUGCAUCACAGCUCAGACGGGCUGGUGCAGCCAGAGACCAGUCUGAAAUCUUGCCUUGGAUUAAAGACAUUGUGAACCAUUUCUGGUACUGUGCCAAGCAGACAUCCACUGUCGAGCAGUUCAAGAUGAAAUGGCAUGCUGUAAUUCAUCACAUUCGGAACCAGCACACAUGGGCCACUGGAUCUUGUGAGCAUGAGCCACUGGGUGAAGAUAUACAGGAAAAACCAUGGAUAAAACAAGGUUCAGCAGCUCACCAGGCUCUUGUAGCCAUCGUCCUGGAGAAGCGAUGAUUGAAGAAUGUUGUGAAGUUCAUCAACUUCAGGACAACAUCCGAUCUGGAAAGCUUCCAGAAUCACAUACUCAUGUAUGCAGGAAAGCGGUUCUCCUAUACUCCAGCAGUGUAUCGGACGCGGACUCUGCUUGCUGCGAUAGACUACAACUGUGACAAUGGCCGCGCCCCGGCACGAAACAAAGAUGGACACAAGAUUUACAGACGAUGCUACAAUAAGAAGUCCAAAUCCUGGAGUGUCUGCACAGUGAAGGAAAAGAAGUACUCCUACAUUCAAGACCUGCAGAGAGGCAUUCUUCGGAAGAGGCUUGAAAGUGGAGGUGGCCUUCCCAAGACACAGACCCUGAGGCCAGAUGACCCCCGGAAUUUCGGGGUUCUGGCUUCAACACAGCCGCCACCAACAGCUGAGCUUGUGAGGACGCACGUGAAAUAUGGUGAAGGUGUUCCCCAAAGUGAACACUGACGAUCCUUCCUUGUCUGCUUUCAUAAAUGCACAUCAAUACAACAUAUCACUCUGACAGGCUGACUACAG